This 489-nucleotide ribosomal RNA is filed under the name uncultured bacterium. RNAcentral's name for it is "partial 16S ribosomal RNA". It matches the Rfam family "Bacterial small subunit ribosomal RNA", at positions 28 to 507 of the family's 1533-position model. The record is from RNAcentral.
GAUGAACGCUAGCUACAGGCUUAACACAUGCAAGUCGCGGGGCAGCAUGGGGGUGGCUGGCAAUCCCCGAGGGGGACCGGCGCACGGGGGGGUACCGCGUAUCCAACCGGCCCUUCACCACGGGAUAACCCGCCGAAAGUGGGACUAAUACCGUAGGUGUUCCUUUAACGGCACCCGAUUGGGCCGAAAGGUUGGCCGGGAAGGAUGGGGGUGCGUCCGAUUAGCUGGACGGCGGGGUGACGGCCCACCGUGGCGACGAUCGGUAGGGGUUCUGAGAGGAAGGUCCCCCACACUGGAACUGAGACACGGUCCAGACUCCUACGGGAGGCAGCAGUGAGGAAUAUUGGUCAAUGGGCGUAAGCCUGAACCAGCCAAGUAGCGUGCAGGAUGACGGCCCUAUGGGUUGUAAACUGCUUUUAUGCGGGGAUAAAGUGGCCCACGUGUGGGUUUUUGCAGGUACCGCAUGAAUAAGGACCGGCUAAUUCCGUG